This 74-nucleotide transfer RNA is filed under the name Melittangium boletus DSM 14713. RNAcentral's name for it is "tRNA-Cys". Lineage: Bacteria; Pseudomonadati; Myxococcota; Myxococcia; Myxococcales; Archangiaceae. The record is from RNAcentral.
UUCCCGGUAGAGGGUAUCCAGUUCGGCGUCUUGCAGGGACUCGACGGAUUCGGGUUCGAAGCCCGCCUGGGACA